AACGAACUCUGGUAUUGAUUGGUGCUUGCAUCAUGAUUUACAUUUGAGUGAGUGGCGAACUGGUGAGUAACACGUGGGAAACCUGCCCAGAAGCGGGGGAUAACACCUGGAAACAGAUGCUAAUACCGCAUAACAACUUGGACCGCAUGGUCCGAGUUUGAAAGAUGGCUUCGGCUAUCACUUUUGGAUGGUCCCGCGGCGUAUUAGCUAGAUGGUGAGGUAACGGCUCACCAUGGCAAUGAUACGUAGCCGACCUGAGAGGGUAAUCGGCCACAUUGGGACUGAGACACGGCCCAAACUCCUACGGGAGGCAGCAGUAGGGAAUCUUCCACAAUGGACGAAAGUCUGAUGGAGCAACGCCGCGUGAGUGAAGAAGGGUUUCGGCUCGUAAAACUCUGUUGUUAAAGAAGAACAUAUCUGAGAGUAACUGUUCAGGUAUUGACGGUAUUUAACCAGAAAGCCACGGCUAACUACGUGCCAGCAGCCGCGGUAAUACGUAGGUGGCAAGCGUUGUCCGGAUUUAUUGGGCGUAAAGCGAGCGCAGGCGGUUUUUUAAGUCUGAUGUGAAAGCCUUCGGCUCAACCGAAGAAGUGCAUCGGAAACUGGGAAACUUGAGUGCAGAAGAGGACAGUGGAACUCCAUGUGUAGCGGUGAAAUGCGUAGAUAUAUGGAAGAACACCAGUGGCGAAGGCGGCUGUCUGGUCUGUAACUGACGCUGAGGCUCGAAAGUAUGGGUAGCAAACAGGAUUAGAUACCCUGGUAGUCCAUACCGUAAACGAUGAAUGCUAAGUGUUGGAGGGUUUCCGCCCUUCAGUGCUGCAGCUAACGCAUUAAGCAUUCCGCCUGGGGAGUACGGCCGCAAGGCUGAAACUCAAAGGAAUUGAC
RNAcentral lists this ribosomal RNA (885 nucleotides) under Lactiplantibacillus plantarum. RNAcentral's name for it is "bacterial SSU rRNA". It matches the Rfam family "Bacterial small subunit ribosomal RNA", at positions 65 to 914 of the family's 1533-position model. Lineage: Bacteria; Bacillati; Bacillota; Bacilli; Lactobacillales; Lactobacillaceae. The record is from RNAcentral.